UCCGGUGGUGUGGGAUGGGCCCGCGUUGGAUUAGCCAGUUGGCAGGGUAACGGCCUACCAAAGCGACGAUCCAUAGCCGGCCUGAGAGGGUAGACGGCCACAUUGGGACUGAGACACGGCCCAGACUCCUACGGGAGGCAGCAGUGGGGAAUAUUGCACAAUGGGGGAAACCCUGAUGCAGCGACGCCGCGUGAAGGAAGAGGUAUUUCGGUAUGUAAACUUCUAUCAGCAGGGAAGAAAAUGACGGUACCUGAGUAAGAAGCACCGGCUAAAUAC
Molecule: ribosomal RNA, 276 nt
Filed under: uncultured bacterium
Lineage: Bacteria
Description: partial 16S ribosomal RNA
Rfam family: Bacterial small subunit ribosomal RNA
Source: RNAcentral